Molecule: ribosomal RNA, 253 nt
Filed under: uncultured bacterium
Lineage: Bacteria
Description: partial 16S ribosomal RNA
Rfam family: Bacterial small subunit ribosomal RNA
Source: RNAcentral
UACGUAGGCAGCAGGCGUUGGUCGGAAUUACUGGGCGUAAAGAGUGUGUAGGUGGUGUCGUAAGUUUGGUGUGAAAUCUCCCGGCUUAACUGGGAGGGUGCGCCGAAGACUGCGAUGCUUGAGUAUGGGAGAGGAAAGCGGAAUUCCUGGUGUAGCGGUGAAAUGCGUAGAUAUCAGGAGGAACACCUGCGGUGUAGGCGGCUUUCUGGACCAUUACUGACACUGAGACGCGAAAGCGUGGGGAGCAAACGGG